CACGUCUGGUAGCAUCUCUGGCUGCUGUUGACUUUGUUUUUGGAGUAAAACACGGUGGAAGCUGAAUUAGUGAGGAUGACUCCUGCUCCUGUCAUCUCUAAGCUCCUCACACAUCUUUACCUGCACAUGAGGAAAAUCACUCCUGUAGAAUGCAGAUGUUCAGAGGGAGAUGAUGCCACAUCUGGUCCAGCUGAUGGAAGGUCUUGAAGUUCUCUGACUGACCUCGACUGAAGAUGGUCGUCUCACUGGAUUUAAGGUUCAGAUGCUCAGUAACAAACUCCACCAAUGAGCCAACAGGGAAGCUUUAGGUUUAUUAAAUGUUGCUAUGAAGGUUUCGCUGUUUUUCUUUGUGAAUGCAAUGUGCUCCAACUGAAACUUGAAUUAGAACUUAGAAGUAAAUCCUUCCAUCUGAAAGGAUUUAGUUGCAUUAAUAACCUCAUAACAUUCUAAUUUUUAUUCCAGUCUUGGUUGGAAAUAGAAUCUCUGUAUUGAUUCAGGUAAAAACUGAACUUCACAGCAUGUUGGAGCAAAACAACCAGAUGAAAACUGUGAUGGUGUUGGAUUGUCAGACCGUAAUGUUGCAGCUCAAAGCAGCUUUUCUAGCUCAGUUCAUUCUGACAUUCAGCUAUGAAUCAACACAGCAGAUGGUGAUCCAUGCUGUGGAAGUCUCACAUCUCCUGAUUUAAUGGAGCUGCUUUGCACUUUUUACACUGUUUAUUCACCAACACUUUAUUUAAUAAAAGUCCCAUCUAGUUUUUAUGAGGAAUGUGAUGUUUUAAUUUCUCUGUGAAUAACUGCAGUCUAAUGCAACAGCUGGAAUUGUAACAUCUGUCCUGAUAUUGAUCAUGAAGUAUUGAUCAGAAUACUUAUGGUCAGCAGUCAUCCCUGAAGUUUUACAUUAAAAUCUUUACUUGUGUUGUGAACUUUGGUAAGAAGCAAAAACGUUACUGUUGC
Amphiprion ocellaris (clown anemonefish) is the source of this 954-nucleotide long non-coding RNA. RefSeq lists it as uncharacterized. The record is from RefSeq and is a predicted model, not a curated record. Lineage: Eukaryota; Metazoa; Chordata; Actinopteri; Pomacentridae. The transcript is spliced from 3 exons.